CUGAGGUAGUAGUUUGUGCUGUUGGUUGGGUUGGCACGUUACCCGUUGAUGGAGAUGACUGCGCAAUCUACUGCCUUGCC
Gadus morhua (Atlantic cod) is the source of this 80-nucleotide microRNA precursor. The record is from Ensembl. NCBI's taxonomy places the organism in Eukaryota, Metazoa, Chordata, Actinopteri, Gadiformes, Gadidae.